Molecule: long non-coding RNA, 473 nt
Filed under: Setaria viridis
Lineage: Eukaryota; Viridiplantae; Streptophyta; Magnoliopsida; Poales; Poaceae
Description: long non-coding RNA (SVIR_LNC002294)
Source: RNAcentral
CUAGAUGAUGCAACCAAUGCCAUUCGAAAGCACCAGAAUUCUCUAAAGCCACUGCCAUUUAACUAUGUGGAGGAGGGGGGGGGGGGGGAGAGAAGAUAUGCAGAAUGACUAAGUUUAUGUAAGUCUUGUCUUUCACAUAGCCUAGUUCUAUCACAACACAUUUCAGCAUAAGGUUUGCUACAUAUACAUGAACUAAGUCAUCCUCUGUAUUUCAUAUUGCAAACUAUUUAUUUAGCAAUUCAGUGAAGUAAAUGGGUCAAUUUUUGAGAUAAUAGAUCUCGUUACUUAUAAUAGACAAACAUAGUUUGACAUGUGUUCAAAACAUAGAUAAGUUGCCAAUAUUAACUUUUCAAAAAAAAGCCUAUUAUUAGGUUAGUUUUGUUUAGUCCUACCCCUUUUCUAAAUAAAUUUGGGUUGCUUUAUCUGUUGUAUUCCUUAAUUUUCUUCCUUUAUGAAUUCAGAAGAUCCUAAAA